GCCAGGCGUGGUGGCGGGCGCCUGUAGUCCCAGCUACUCAGGAGGCUGAGGCAGGAGAAUCGCUUGAACCCAGGAGGCGGAGGUUGCAGUGAGCCUAGAUCAUGCCACUGCACUCCAGCCUGGGUGACACGGUGAGACUCUGUCUCAA
This 148-nucleotide non-coding RNA is filed under the name Gorilla gorilla gorilla (western lowland gorilla). The record is from Rfam by way of RNAcentral. Lineage: Eukaryota; Metazoa; Chordata; Mammalia; Primates; Hominidae.